Molecule: non-coding RNA, 1023 nt
Organism: Mus caroli (Ryukyu mouse)
Lineage: Eukaryota; Metazoa; Chordata; Mammalia; Rodentia; Muridae
Source: RefSeq, a predicted model, not a curated record
UGUUGACUUUUGACAUCAAACUCUUCAGUCCAGCUGCACUCUAUUGAGUGUGGACGAUCUUACUCAAUAGUACCCAAACUGGUCAAGGUUCCUGUAAAGAGAAGACCAAACUUCAGGCAAGAAUAGAGUUUGGAGAUGGGCUUGCUUACCCAUCUAAAGGAUGUGGAAAUGGAGAAUAAGUGAGCUAAUCUUGGAAGAAUUUUGCAGCAAAACAGGACAUUUCUCCAUGGAUCCAGAGGAAGUGGUAACUGAGGGUUUGAGUUGUAUAGGGAUCUGGCUUCUUCAUGGGUAUUCCUAGUGGGUGGCCUCAAGUCUACAACAGAGACUGCUUGGCUGUCUGCAGUGGAAAAGACCUUCAAGUUGACUGUGAGUGGGUGCGACUCAUCAAGAAAAAUAACCUCACCACCACAACAACACAUGAUGGGAGAGACCGAAACUUCUUUGGGAGAACAUAAGGGAAAAAAAAAAAAAGAAAAAGUGAAGUCUAAGUAUUAUUAAACACAUGAAAGCAGAGUCAUUUACUUAAUAGGAAGGCGCUCAUUCACACACAGGUAGACUUGUGGUCCCUUAGAAGUACGUAAACACGACCCAUCAGUCCACCACAGUCAACAUCAGAAUUUCUUGGGAAAUGCCUCAUGAAAGAGUUUUUAAAGAAUAAUAUGACUGUGGAUCUGUCAAAUAAUUUCCCAAAAGCCAUGAAAGAUGAGUUGCUCUGCUCUGUUAUGCAUUUCCUUCCCUUGCAUGGGCACUUACAGCUUGCCAAAUUUAGUCUGAGAUCUGAACAGAGAGAAAACAUGAACUCUUUGAACUGAAGUUCAGCUUCCUGUUUCUACAUGGCCUCUCAUACUCUUGGCCAUUCUGUAGAUCUACCCAGGUGUGUUUCCUGGACACUUGAUAAAAAUCAUUUUCACAUCAAAGUUGACCAAAAAUGAUUGAUGAUAAGUAGUUAAGGGUUUAUAAAUGCCAGACUAUGAGAGAUGAUUGCAAAAUAAAUAGAUAUAAAUAAAUAAAUAAGUAAAUAAA